RNAcentral lists this non-coding RNA (267 nucleotides) under uncultured spirochete. Lineage: Bacteria; Pseudomonadati; Spirochaetota; Spirochaetia; Spirochaetales. The record is from RNAcentral.
AAAAAUGCGUUGAUGGAGAAGAGUAACUGGCGUGUUUUGCGCACAGAGAGGGAUUCCGCGUGUGUCCAUGCGGGUGGAAGAAUCCUGCCAGGCCCCAGCGAAGACCACUCCUGAGCAGUUUGUGUGAACCUGCCUUUGUGCGGCAGUAAUGCAGACCGCGCGCCAGGCGAUAUUGGCGAAGAGCGCGGCCCCUCGUCGCGGGGAGCCGAAGUAAGGUGGUACCGCGGAUUACCGUGAGCAUUGAUCUCCACGGGAUUCGUCCUUACG